Molecule: ribosomal RNA, 497 nt
Filed under: uncultured bacterium
Lineage: Bacteria
Description: partial 16S ribosomal RNA
Rfam family: Bacterial small subunit ribosomal RNA
Source: RNAcentral
AGUGAACGCUGGCGGCAGGCCUAACACAUGCAAGUCGAGCGGACGCACGGUAAGCGCUCGCUCCUGCGGUUGGCGACGGGCGGGCGAGUAAGACGUAGAUCGCAUUCUACUUAGUCUUGGGUAAUAACGGGGGACCGCUUACACUACUGGCGCAUACGUCGAACGGGUGGGAUCAAGGGAGCUUCAGGGUCUUGCUGAUACUAUGAGAUGGUUCCGGGUUGGAUUAGCUAGUUGGUAAGGUAACGGCUUACCAAGGCUACGAUGCGUAGCUGACCUGAGAGGAUGAUCAGCCACACUGGAACUGAGACACGGUCCAGACUCCUACGGGAGGCAGCAGUGGGGAAUAUUGGGCAAUGGGCGAAAGCCUGACCCAGCCAUGCCGCGUGAGUGAAGAAGGUCUUCGGAUCGUAAAGCUCUGUUAUUGGGGAAGAAAAGCAGUAGGUUAAUACCUCGCUGUUUUGACGGUACCUAAAGAAUAAGCACCGGCUAACUUCGUG